AAUAGAUACCCCGGUAGUCCACGCCGUAAACGUUGGAUACUAGGUGUGGCGGUCUUACCAACGACUGCCGUGCCGAAGCUAACGCAUUAAGUAUCCCGCCUGGGGAGUACGGCCGCAAGGCUAAAACUCAAAGGAAUUGACGGGUCCCCGCACAAGCGGCGGAGCAUGCGGCUUAAUUCGAUGCAAUCCGAAGAACCUUACCUGGGUUUGACAUCACGGGAAAAGCUGUAGAAAUACAGUGUCCGUAAGGGCCCGUGACAGGUGGUGCAUGGCUGUCGUCAGCUCGUGUCGUGAGAUGUUGGGUUAAGUCCCGCAACGAGCGCAACCCUUGUCCUAUGUUGCCAGCGGUUCGGCCGGGGGUACUCAUAGGAGACUGCCGGGGAUAACUCGGAGGAAGGUGAGGACGACGUCAAGUCAUCAUGCCCCUUAUAUCCAGGGCUGCACGCAUGCUACAAUGGCCGGUACAACGGGCAGCGACCCCGCGAGGGUGAGCGAAUCCUAAAAACGCCGGUCCGUAGUUCGGAUUGAAGUCUGCAACUCGACUUC
Molecule: ribosomal RNA, 546 nt
Filed under: uncultured bacterium
Lineage: Bacteria
Description: bacterial SSU rRNA
Rfam family: Bacterial small subunit ribosomal RNA
Source: RNAcentral